This 497-nucleotide ribosomal RNA is filed under the name uncultured bacterium. Its description in RNAcentral is "partial 16S ribosomal RNA". It matches the Rfam family "Bacterial small subunit ribosomal RNA", at positions 28 to 507 of the family's 1533-position model. The record is from RNAcentral.
GAUGAACGCUGGCGGCGUGCCUAAUACAUGCAAGUCGAGCGAACAGACGAGGAGCUUGCUCCUCUGACGUUAGCGGCGGACGGGUGAGUAACACGUGGAUAACCUACCUAUAAGACUGGGAUAACUUCGGGAAACCGGAGCUAAUACCGGAUAAUAUAUUGAACCGCAUGGUUCAAUAGUGAAAUACGGUUUUUCUGUCACUUAUAGAUGGAUCCGCGCCGCAUUAGCCAGUUGUUAAGGUACCGGCCUACCAAGGCAACGAUGCGUAGCCGACCUGAGAGGGUGAUCGGCCACACUGGAACUGAGACACGGUCCAGACUCCUACGGGAGGCAGCAGUAGGGAAUCUUCCGCAAUGGGCGAAAGCCUGACGGAGCAACGCCGCGUGAGUGAUGAAGGUCUUCGGAUCGUAAAACUCUGUUAUUAGGGAAGAACAAAUGUGUAAGUAACUAUGCACGUCUUGACGGUACCUAAUCAGAAAGCCACGGCUAACUACGUG